Molecule: ribosomal RNA, 779 nt
Filed under: uncultured Neocallimastigales
Lineage: Eukaryota; Fungi; Neocallimastigomycota; Neocallimastigomycetes; Neocallimastigales
Description: partial large subunit ribosomal RNA
Rfam family: Eukaryotic large subunit ribosomal RNA
Source: RNAcentral
AUAUCAGUCAUGCAUAGCAUAUCAAUAAGCGGAGGAAAAGAAACUAACAAGGAUUCCCUUAGUAACGGCGAGUGAAGCGGGAAGAGCUCAAAUUUGAAAUCUUCAAGGUUCUACCUUGACGAAUUGUAGUUUAUAGAAGUGUUUUCUGUAGUGGAGUUCGGUAAAAGUUCUUUGGAAUAGGACAUCAUAGAGGGUGAGAAUCCCGUAUUUGACCGUUACUUUCCAGCUGUGUGAUACACUUUCAAAGAGUCGGAUUGUUUGGGAAUGCAGUCCAAAAUGGGUGGUAAAUUUCAUCUAAAGCUAAAUAUUGGCGAGAGACCGAUAGCGAACAAGUACCGUGAGGGAAAGAUGAAAAGAACUUUGAAAAGAGAGUUAAACAGUACGUGAAAUUGUCAAAAGGGAAGCGUUUGACACCAGUGUUGUUUAGUUGAAAAUCCAAUUCAAUAAUUUUUGAUUUUGAGUAGUAUUGACUUCAUCAGCUUGCUGCUUUCUUUUCAGGAAAUUAUUGAAUGCACUUUUCAGUUAACAAGUCAACAUCAAUUUCUUUUGUUGUAAAAGGGUAAUGAGGAAGGUGGCUUACGCUUCGGCGUAAGUGUUUAUAGCCUUUUACCUCUGCAAUCGGAGAGAUUGAGGACAGCAGCGUAGACUCUUCGGGGUUAGAUACACUUGUGCUAAGCUAUAGCCUUGUAUAGACAACUUGUUGACUAUGCUCAGUCAUGUAGCUUACUCGCUUGUGCUAUUUUACCUACGCUUAGGAUGUUGAUCUCUCACAGUCGAGC